UUCUUCUUUUAUUUCUGCAAACCCAGCAGGCUGUGAGGUUUGGUGUGGGAAACUGGGAGCUUUCAUGGUUUGACUCCCCUGGAACGUGGUGACAGUGGGGUGCAGUAGGAAAAGUGGCAGCAGCAGAGAACAGGCUGUUUAUUUUCAUCUUGUAGUAUUUUUAUAUUAUUCACAAUCCACAGUUUGCAAAUCAUGUGGUGAGAAACGCCAGGGUUUUGUAGUAGAAUAUCUUUAAGAAUCCCUAUCUCUAAAGAUUCCACACUGCCCUAAAGUAAAAAAAAAUUGAGAAAAAGGUCACUGUUCCUGUUUUGGUGGGAGAAGUCUCUUAAACAUCAAGGGAGGAACUUUUCAAAGCUGCUUCAGAUUAUGAAAAUGUUCACAGGGUUUUAGCUACUGCAAAAUUAAUCCUGUAGGUGCUUUUUGGUUAUUAAAUAUCCUCCAUUUUCUGGGUGGAGAAGGCACCGUGCCCCUCAGGAGCAGUGAACUCGUGUUCAGGAACAGGACGCUGGGAAGGGGUUGAUGCUGAGGAGCUGCCAGCUUCGGGUGGCUUUGUGCCACUUUUAUAAGAUUUCCAAGAAAUUAAUAAAAGCUAAAUCAAGUCUUUUGAGUUAGGACAACAGGUUUGUUCUGCUUAUGUGUAUAUGUAUAUAAAUCUAACUCUUUUCCCUUUCAGCUUCUCUUCCUGUCAGUUAAUGCUCUGAGAGAAUGGGAAGCUCUUCCUCAAGAGCAGAUCCUCAAGAGGAAGUUACACCAGGACCCGUUUCCACUACUACCACUGUCCCCAGCACUGUCCCUGCCACUGUGCACACCCCUGCAGUUGAUUUCAAAGAUGCAGAAAUGAGAUGCUGGAUCAAUAACCAUGAAAUACUGUUCAUGUCACUGGCCUUCAUCUCUGGCAUCCUCCUGACUGUCCUGAUUUUUGCAAUCAUCACUCUCUUCAGGAAAAAUUAUAAAAGGUCCCACCAAAAUUUACAAGAGGAAUCUUUCUCCCAGAUGGCAGCUGAGGAAUCUCUUAGGUGCCAGAAUGAAGUCACCUACAGCACUCUGGUCUUCCAGCAGGGCCGGGCACCACUGCCUGUGUGAAGAAAUUCCAAAUGAAAUAAAAAUGUUCCCACUCUCUGGGCA
This 1125-nucleotide long non-coding RNA is filed under the name Cyanistes caeruleus (blue tit). RNAcentral's name for it is "lncRNA (ENSCCEG00000004135.1)". Lineage: Eukaryota; Metazoa; Chordata; Aves; Passeriformes; Paridae. The record is from RNAcentral.